RNAcentral lists this ribosomal RNA (399 nucleotides) under Triticum aestivum (bread wheat). RNAcentral describes it as "partial small subunit ribosomal RNA". Lineage: Eukaryota; Viridiplantae; Streptophyta; Magnoliopsida; Poales; Poaceae. The record is from RNAcentral.
AUGGAUGAACCACGGCCGGUCAGACCUACAGAGCCAGUCAGAGAGGCCACUGAUGAUGAUGAUGCGUGGGAGAAGUAUAAAAAAGAUCAUGCUCCAGUGGAGAUGAGAUAUUCCAUUGAAAACCUAAAGUGGGUCAAUGCAAACAAAAAAUGCAUGGCAUUUAUAAAGAAUACAGUUGAGACCACCAUUGUGGGCUCAAUUGCAGAGUGCACUUCCGCAUGGGAGUUGCUUACAAAGAUAAUGAGCCAGUUCACUGGCUCUUCAAAGAUAUAUGCCACCCUGGUGUUGAAGCAACUGGUGACAGAGAACUACGCUGGAGGUAGUCAUGGAAUAAGAGAGCACAUCCUCAGAAUGAGCAACAUGGCGGUAAAGCUUAAGCCCAUGGAUGAGGAUCUGGAG